Molecule: RNA transcript, 2825 nt
Organism: Zalophus californianus (California sea lion)
Lineage: Eukaryota; Metazoa; Chordata; Mammalia; Carnivora; Otariidae
Gene: EXOC3L4
Gene name: exocyst complex component 3 like 4
Exons: 12
Source: RefSeq, a predicted model, not a curated record
CCGACAGUGCUGUGAGAGUGAGUGACUGCUCCAGUGGUCUCGCCACCGAGGCCCGGCUCCGGGGGACUGGCUCAGCUGGCUUCUCCUGGCUGCCCUGUCCUGCCUGGGGCCCCGGGCUCUCCUCACCCGGCAGCUUUCCUGCUACCAAGAUGUCAUUGCCACGGACAGUGACCUCCGGGCCGGAGCUGCACAGCCCUGAGGGGGCUGCGAAGAAGCUGCAGACCCCACCAGUGCGGGGUACUUGGCGGACAAGCAGUGAAGGCACGCCCAGCACCCACCGUGAGGACACUCGGCCCGGCCUGGGCACCCUGCGGUGGGCUUUCUCCCGGACAAGCCAGCGGGCCUCAGGCCAGGCCCUCGAGGAGGACCUGGGCCUGUUCCAGCGCAGCUCCCGCUUCCUGUUCCGGUCCUUACGGCGUGCCCAGGAUAAUGGCUCCCCUGCCCGCCAGCCCCAGGCCACUGCUGUGCCAGGGGUGACCCAUGGCCCAGAGGUGCCCUCUAGGGUCAUGGAUGGUGGCCGCCGGCAGUCCUCCGCUGGGGUGGGGCCUGAGGAACUGGAACCUGAGGCAGGCAAAUCUGUGGCCGAUCUCAUCACCGAGCGGCAGCUGCUGCGGGCCUUCGAACAGCUGCGGCAGCUGGAGGUGCGGCUCGUGGCCGAGAAGGCCUCGCACACCUUCGAGGAGGACCCCACCGGCUUCGCGCGGCGCGCCAUGGACGUGUGCCUGCACUACGACGGGCUGGCGGCUGAGAUCGGCGCCAUCGUGCGCGAGACGCUGGGCCCGGACGGCGUGGACGCGGCGGCGCUGGGCGACCUGGCCCGCGUGGUGCGCGCGGAGGAGGCGGCCCACCCGGUGCCCCCGGCCGACGGCGACUUCCUGCUCACCCCGCGCCGCUGGCGCCAGCACUGGGAGGACGCGGUGAGGCGCAGCGCGCAGGAGCGCGUGCAGCAGGCGGGCGCCGGGGAGGCUCGGGGGGCAGCCGAGGCGGAGGGCGCAUCGGGCCUGGCCCAGCUUCUGGCCGAGCUCGGCGGCUUGGUUCGCAGCGACCUGCACAAGGUGCGGCAGGAGGUGCAGCCGGCUUACUCGGCCGCCGGCCUCCCGGCGUGGGAGGCUUACCUGCGCGCCUUCCACGGCGCGGUGGCCCAGCGCCUGCAGGAGCUCGCACAGGACGCCCGGGGCUGCGAGCAGCUCUAUGUCCUGUUGGACUGGGCGGCCAAUGUCUAUGGCAGUCCUGACUUCCUGGGUGCCCCGGACCUGACUCUGUCCACAGAGCCACUACCCCCACUCCUGGCACCUGCCUUGUGGGCCCGCCUGCAGAGUGACUACACCAGCUUCCUAGAGACCAAGAUCACGAGCUGCUUCGAUAGCAUCCUGCAGCUAGAACAGAGCCGUUGGGCGGACGCUGAGGCCCCCGAUGUGCUACAAGGCCUCUACCACACGCCGCUGUCCAUUGAUGUCCACAUGCUCGUGGCAGAGCACGUGAAGGCGGCCGGUGCCAUCUCUGCGGAACUGGAGGCCACCACCCUGUGCAUCUGCACGCGGGCGCUCAGCCUCUUCUUGCCCAGGUUUGAAAAGGCUUUUCUAGAGUCGAAGGCAGUGAACGAGCCUCAUCUGGGCGCCAAUAUCAACGCCUGCGAGGAGCUCAGGACCCAUCUUCUGGCCAGGUUCCCAGGAACCUUUGAAGAGCUGGAGAAACCUCUAGUGGCUGCCACCUGCACCUUCCAGAAGCGGCUGCUCCGGGGCCUGCAGUGUGAUGUGCAACCGCUUUUCAGGGUCCUGUGCACCAAGGCCUGGCUGACACAGGACGUGCUGCAGCCGAUCAUGGACAAGGUGGUGGCCUUUGCCCGCCAUUUGGAGCACGUGGCCCCACUGCGGGCACAGGAGACUCUGCAGGAGGUGCACCGGUACGUGGUCCGUGAGUACCUGGCCCAGGUGCUGAGGCCGCGUGAACGGUUCCGGGGUGAGGAGCGCAUGACUGGCUCCCAGAAGAUGGGCCUCGACGCCCAGGCCAUUGGCGACACCUUCCAGGGCUUGGGCUCUGAGGCCACGUGGCUGGACCAGGCUAUCCCGUGUGUGGCUGACAUCCUGGGUGAGACUUACAAAGAUGACAUCCGGAGGCACCUGGAGACACUCAUCGGGAGCUACCCUGACAUCAGGUUUGUUACCCACCUGCUCCCUCACUGGGCUCCGAGGACAGAGCGCUGCCAGGCCCGGGGGCAGGGGGGCAGGCAGGGAGCCUCCAGAGGGUCCCUGUGGUUCUAGGUGGGCAGGUGAGGAACCGCAGGGAGGCACAGCUUGUUCCAGUGGGGAGGGGAGCCACGGUGCAGGCGGGGUGGCCCCCCCAAGCGGGCUACUGUGCGCAUGUGUGUGGAGGCCCGGGGACCGCGGCCCCUGACCUUCAGGCCGGGGUGGGGGUGGGGCGGAGGAGCGGGGGCUGCCCCUCCUUCAGAAGCUAUUCUUGGCCAUUCUCCUUCAGUGCUGUGGGGCGGGGAGGGCCCUAGAGCCUGGGGGGGGUCGGGGUCUGGGCCGGGGCCCCUUCCUGGUCAUCAGGCGUGGAGACAAGUACCCGCAUCCGCGCGUCUGGAGGGGAGGGGCAGCCCUCUCUGCGAGAAAGCCCUAUUGGGAGCCCGACUCCUGACACCGGCCAGGAGGAAGGAGGCUUUGACCCCCGGGAGUGUGUUGGGGGGACUGGCGGGACCACGUGCUGGCCAUUCUGGCUCUGCGCAGACUGGGCCACCGGCGGAACCAGCGCCUCCUGCAGCAUGCCCAGUACCUGCUGAGGUCUGCGGCCAAGGCGGGCGGCCCUGCGGCUGCUGGGGGCCACGU